RNAcentral lists this ribosomal RNA (111 nucleotides) under Erythranthe lutea x Erythranthe guttata. RNAcentral's name for it is "partial 5.8S ribosomal RNA". It matches the Rfam family "5.8S ribosomal RNA", at positions 48 to 154 of the family's 154-position model. From Rfam's summary of the family: 5.8S ribosomal RNA (5.8S rRNA) is a component of the large subunit of the eukaryotic ribosome. It is transcribed by RNA polymerase I as part of the 45S precursor that also contains 18S and 28S rRNA. Functionally, it is thought that 5.8S rRNA may be involved in ribosome translocation. Lineage: Eukaryota; Viridiplantae; Streptophyta; Magnoliopsida; Lamiales; Phrymaceae. The record is from RNAcentral.
GAAAUGGCCGAUACUUGGUGUGAAUUGCAGAAUCCCGUGAACCAUCGAGUCUUUGAACGCAAGUUGCGCCCGAAGCCACAAGGCCGUGCGCUCCCGCGCGGAUGGCCCAAA